RNAcentral lists this transfer RNA (74 nucleotides) under Actinoplanes campanulatus. Its description in RNAcentral is "tRNA-Thr". It matches the Rfam family "tRNA". From Rfam's summary of the family: Transfer RNA (tRNA) molecules are approximately 80 nucleotides in length. Their secondary structure includes four short double-helical elements and three loops (D, anti-codon, and T loops). Lineage: Bacteria; Bacillati; Actinomycetota; Actinomycetes; Micromonosporales; Micromonosporaceae. The record is from RNAcentral.
GCCGAUGUAGCUCACCGGGUAGAGCGGCCGCCUCGUAAGCGGCAGGCAGGCGGUUCGAGUCCGCCCUUCGGCUC